RNAcentral lists this ribosomal RNA (468 nucleotides) under uncultured bacterium. Its description in RNAcentral is "partial 16S ribosomal RNA". It matches the Rfam family "Bacterial small subunit ribosomal RNA", at positions 28 to 507 of the family's 1533-position model. The record is from RNAcentral.
GACGAACGCUGGCGGCGUGCUUAACACAUGCAAGUCGAACGGUGAAGCUCCAGCUUGCUGGGGUGGACCAGUGGCGAACGGGUGAGUAACACGUGAGCAACCUGCCCCUGACUCUGGAAUAAGCGCUGGAAACGGCGUCUAAUACUGGAUACGAGAAGGGUCCGCAUGGGCACUUUCUGGAAAGUUCUUCGGUUGGGGAUGGGCUCGCGGCCUAUCAGCUUGUUGGUGAGGUAAUGGCUCACCAAGGCGACGACGGGUAGCCGGCCUGAGAGGGCGACCGGCCACACUGGGACUGAGAUACGGCCCAGACUCCUACGGGAGGCAGCAGUGGGGAAUAUUGCACAAUGGGCGAAAGCCUGAUGCAGCGACGCCGCGUGAGGGAUGACGGCCUUCGGGUUGUAAACCGCUUUCAGCAGGGAAGAAGCGAAAGUGACGGUACCUGCAGAAGAAGCACCGGCUAACUACGUG